Long non-coding RNA from Dermacentor silvarum, 2934 nucleotides. RefSeq lists it as uncharacterized. The record is from RefSeq and is a predicted model, not a curated record. The transcript has 2 exons. NCBI's taxonomy places the organism in Eukaryota, Metazoa, Arthropoda, Arachnida, Ixodida, Ixodidae.
AAUUCUUUUUCUUCUUAAUGCCUACAUUGUCGUAUUGCUCCGUGCUGAAUUUUACGAGUUAGUUUUUGUGUGUUGUCUUGCAAAGCAGUCCACUUUGUCAGCAGCCUAGCUAGCUUUGAAUUCCUAACAAAUCAUAAGCUUCAAAUUGCCAGGGCAUGUCUUUUCAGGUAGCUACAGAAAAAAAUAUAUAUAAAGAUGUUGACUGCAUGUUAGUAUAAAUGUCUGUAGAUGCGAUUAUCUAAAUGUUUACCCUUCUCAGACGUGCGCAACUCCAGUGUUGAUUUUUAUAGUUGAUAGCUCGUGCUUUCCUGUGUCAGGUUAAUUGCAAAUAGGAUUUGGUUGACCAAGAACCCAUGCCACCAUAUUGCAUGCCUUUUUUCUGCGUUAUUUCUCAGUCAUAGUGUUAGCUGAUUUUCUUCCUUAGAGUCGGCAGGAACAUGGCGCGAGCAAAAGAGGGGCUUAAGUAUAUUUUGUUAACGUAAUUUGUGCAGUCAUUUUAAAUACAGUGAAAUCUUCCUGUCCACUUUUCUAGCAAAUCAUAAUAGCCGUGAUCUCGGGUACAUUCUGACAGCAAGCUUGAUGUACUAAAUCUCGUUUAGAUAAUUCAUUGCCACACCAAGAGCAGCAUUAACCCUUUGAGGGUCAAAUUUUUUUUGCCAAAUGCGACCUCCCAGGGUCGAAUUUUUUUAUUGAUGAUUUAAAUUCUUCGAAAAAACCUAUUUCGAAGAAAUAUGGUCGUAACUUUUUUUUUUUUUUUUGAGUGACAGUAAAAAGAAAAAAAUCGUGUGUGUUGUAAAACGCACAAUAUUUUUUCAUGAAUAAGAAGAUAAGCACACUGAAAAAUGGUUGUGUGCACGUCUGGAAACCGAAACAAGUGAGAAAGAAGCCUUCGUCUUAUUGCCAACAAGGUGCCAUAGAGCUUUUGUGGUCUCCAAAAAAGGAAACGCAAAAGCGGCAGCAUCAUUUGUGUAUAUACGCGCCUGCCUGGGAACAGGUGUAAUCGUGCCGCGGUGGGUGAUAAACGAUCAAGUAACAAGUGGUCACCCUUUGAGAGAUUUGAAACCAGAUAGCCAUCAGUUUAGCGCGUGCAACAAGAGGGAUCCGCCACAGGAGAAAACCGUAACCUGCUGCGCGCGCGCGCCCGGAUGCGCAAGCGAUAGCUGACAUGCCGUUGCCAUUAAAGAAAAAAAAAAUGAGAGGCUCUGGUGCAAGUAAAAAAUUACACGUGUUCCCGUCGAGUGGCAGCACAUACCAAGCGAAUGAAUUAAUCAAACGAAUCUCGCACUUGUCACCGCUCCGCGUGCGCACAGCCCGGUUGCCCGAGCAAUAGUCCACGCGCCGUUGCCAUAAACAAACAAAAACAAAAACCGGAAAGGCAUUGGCACAAGUAAAAAAUUCCAUGUGUUUUUGUCGAGUGACAGCACAUGCCAAGUGAAAGAAAUGAUCGAAAGAGGCGCGCUUUUUUAAUGUGCUAGUGAUAACGUACAUGUACGUCAUUGACCAUUUUGAAGGUGUUCGCGGAGGACGUACAUGUACGCCAUCGACCCUGAAAGGGUUAAUGGAUUAAAAGGGCCGUACCGCAGUGGGACCAAAAGCCAGCAUUAUCCACAUGUGAGAAUCGCAUACCAGUGCUGUUUGAUGCCACCUUGUGUAGCCAGGUGUGUUGCCGGAGAAAAGAAAACCAAGUUACAAAAUUUGAAAAGCCCGAAACAAAACACUAACGGAGGUACAGAUUUGGGGAGUCAAUAAAAUUCAAUGAAAAAUUUCAAGACGUGUAACUCUGUUGUGCUUGUAUCUUGGGUUAUUGAUGCUGAAUAUGCAAGCAGUGAUUUGAAACUAUCCAUUAUUUGAUGACUGAAGGGGUGCUUGGGUGAACAAGUAAGCCAAGCUGAUGCACAGUGGAGCACAGGCCCUGGCUAUGUGACUAGGCAAAUUUAACAUUUUCGUGGUCUGUUAUGUGAAGCAACCACACCUUACAAACUUUGUGGUUUUCCUCGCUCAUUGGUUUUCCAGUGGAUCAUAUUUAUCUGUAGCGUGAAAGGACAGAGCACUUCGAGAAGGUGACACACACAGAAUUGCUACAAUCAGUUUACAGCUAAAAAUCAGUUGUUCCCCUCUUCUCCUAUUUCACCAAAGUUGACCGUUGGGUUAAUUGGUGUUGCAUAAGCAAUGUUUUCCCAGCACAUUAGACACGGACAACAGAAUAGACUCACACAGUGGUGUGUGUCUGUUCGUUGUCCGUGUGUAAUGUGCCGUGAAAACACAGUCCUCUUUCCUCGGAACUACUGCUAGACUUGUUCAAAGCUAGUUAGGGACUAUAUCUGGAGGGCUGCUGCUAUUUGUUUCACUUUAUGUGGAACAAAUUUCUCUUUGAGAAUACUUGUGCAAGCAAAGGUUUUUAAAGCAUUACAAAUUGCUGAAUACAAAAUAAAUGGUCUUGUGAGCACGGGGUGGCCUCUAGUAAUGCCGGUGAAAGUCUCACAUAUGUUUCUACAGUUUGGUCCCACUGAAGUGUGGCACCAAGUAUUGAACAAAUGCGGCUUAGCAAUUCAGAAGACUCUUACAGUUCGCAGUUCUAUCAUCAUAUGAUGGCAGUUUACAAGCCAGAAUGCAGAUUAGGCAGCUGAAAUGUUAUUUGCACUUGUUCCCAAGUUUUUUGUGACAGCAUUUCAUUUGUGCCUGGGACAAGCUGAGGCACCAGUUGCACAGUUUUUGCUCGACUGUUCGAAGGUUAAAAGCACAUGUAUUUUGGCAAGUGCCAGUUUAGAGCAGAACAAAUACAACAUAUAAAAUGGAGAAAGAUUUUUUUUUCUUACUUCAGAAGACAUAGUCUAUCUUGAUGCCCGAUCUUUCCCUAGCCACAGUUCUUUCUUUUUUUUUUUUUUUCAUGAUGUAUCCCGUUAUGGAAGAUCCAUGCAUGAACCCACUUUUUUU